UAUCAUGGAGAAGAGAAGACAGAGCUGGCCCAGGAAAGGAGAAAAGGACCAAGACUAUGUUUGAAGCAUUUACUGCUGUAAAGUGGUUCAUUAAAAUUGGCUGCUUCCAGGAACCCCACAUCUACCGCACCCCCGUUAGUUUUACAUGGCUGCCCCAUAGCUCGCAAGAUUUCAGAUUUCUUCCUGAUAAAAAAAGAAUCCACCCACUCCUCUGGUCAUCACCCAUCUUUUCUCUGUAUCUAUGAGUAUGGGUUUUGAUUUAUUUGAUAUGAUUUUUACAUACUGCACGGUCAUUUUAAUACUGAAGCAUUUUAUUAUAAAUGAAGCUGUCCUGUACAAUAUAGACUCUCAGAGAGAGAGAGAGAGAGACACUAAUUCUAAAUUCAUCACUGAAAUCUGCCCAAGAGAAUAUCCUUCUUAACUUGGCAUUUUUUUUUUUGGGAGAGUCCUUAGUCUUUUGAAUUGAAGUGGUGAGAGUUUACACCCUGUCUUGUUCCUGACUAUAGAAGAAAAGCUCUCAUUUUCUCCCCACUGAAGAUUAUAUUAGCUGUAAGUUUUUCACAUAUGGACUUUAUUAUGUUAACAUAUGUUCCAUCUAUCUUUACUCUAUUGAGGGAUUUUUAUCAAGAAUGGAUAUUGUACUUUGUCAAGUGCUCUUACUACAUCU
Molecule: long non-coding RNA, 667 nt
Organism: Neogale vison (American mink)
Lineage: Eukaryota; Metazoa; Chordata; Mammalia; Carnivora; Mustelidae
Exons: 4
Source: RefSeq, a predicted model, not a curated record